UGUUUCGGCUAGGGGGCCAUCCCGGCUUACCAACCCGAUGCAAACUGCGAAUACCGGAGAAUGUUAUCACGGGAGACACACGGCGGGUGCUAACGUCCGUCGUGAAGAGGGAAACAACCCAGACCGCCAGCUAAGGUCCCAAAGUCAUGGUUAAGUGGGAAACGAUGUGGGAAGGCCCAGACAGCCAGGAUGUUGGCUUAGAAGCAGCCAUCAUUUAAAGAAAGCGUAAUAGCUCACUGGUCGAGUCGGCCUGCGCGGAAGAUGUAACGGGGCUAAACCAUG
RNAcentral lists this ribosomal RNA (282 nucleotides) under Citrobacter koseri. RNAcentral's name for it is "partial 23S ribosomal RNA". It matches the Rfam family "Bacterial large subunit ribosomal RNA", at positions 911 to 1191 of the family's 2925-position model. The record is from RNAcentral. RNAcentral also lists the same sequence under 40 other names. Lineage: Bacteria; Pseudomonadati; Pseudomonadota; Gammaproteobacteria; Enterobacterales; Enterobacteriaceae.